UCCGUAGGGCGCAAGCGUUGUCCGGAAUUAUUGGGCGUAAAGAGCUCGUAGGCGGUUUGUCGCGUCUGCCGUGAAAACCCGAGGCUUAACCUCGGGCCUGCGGUGGAUACGGGCAGACUAGAGGUAGGUAGGGGAGAAUGGAAUUCCCGGUGUAGCGGUGAAAUGCGCAGAUAUCGGGAGGGACACCGGUGGCGAAGGCGGUUCUCUGGGCCUUACCUGACGCUGAGGAGCGAAAGCGUGGGGAGCGAACAGG
RNAcentral lists this ribosomal RNA (253 nucleotides) under uncultured bacterium. RNAcentral's name for it is "partial 16S ribosomal RNA". It matches the Rfam family "Bacterial small subunit ribosomal RNA", at positions 524 to 776 of the family's 1533-position model. The record is from RNAcentral.